CUGGGCCUCUAAAAUAGCGUUACCUGAGUCAGGUAGAGAAGUAAAGUCAGUCUGAAGAAAGUUUCUAUUUUGUUCCAUUGGUAACAUCACUCUUUUGUAUUCAGUUUCUGUUUGCAUCUCUUUGUGUGAGAAGAUUUUGGGCUGUUCUCUAACUAAUUUCAUCAUUUGAUUUUCGCUUCUGCAUUGACCUACAGAAGGUGUGGACUAAAACACCAGCAAGGUGAGUGAGACUGCUGCUGGAGCCCUACUGUAUCUGCAAGAACAUUCUGUGCAUUCUAUCCUUCAUUCCACCGGAGUCUGUGCCUUUAUCCAAACAGAUUUCAGUGAAGUGAAGUGUAAGAGACAUGGAACUCGAACCUCACAACCUAACUGAGCAAUUGAGUCAAUUUCCAAAGUGCUGCUGCAAGAAAAGUAAUAAGUAAUAAGUCUAAUCAUUUACACCUAACAAUAUCAAUGGAAAACAUGGAUUGUGUAUUAUUGAUCGUGCUCUGGGAGGAAUGUCAUUGCACUUUACAACAACUGCUGAUGUAAAAGGGGCUUUAUAAAUGCAUUUGGUUGAUUGAUUGCUAAUUUAAUGUUCAUCAUAAAUGUAAAUGUUUUGCAAUCGGAUUAAAAUUCUUAUUCCAUAUCUUUGUUUGCUGAAUGGCCUAAAUAUAUUUAGUCUCUGAUCCUGUCCUUUUUGCAAGAGCUACUCAAAUACUAAACAUUUCCACAAAUUUACAUUCAGCGAAUUACAGCACCCACGCACUUUGGUGUAACACACCAGAUCUCAAUGCCACAACAUGUUUUUUCAUCAGCUGAUGUGGACCAUCUGAGACCAGCCCACACACAAACACACAAUGCUAAAGUUCAGCCAAUGAAGUUGAGCUGAGAGGCCUCAGAGUUACUGCCUAAUUCUAUUAUCUAUUCAGUAUGUGCUACCCAGACUAACUUUCCUGCAAAACAAUGAUUACAAAUGUAUCGCUACUUGAGAUGCAUCUCUGUUGAAUGCCAACUGGCACCCUGAUUUCUGCAUAGUGCACUACUUUUGACAGUAGCCCUAUGGGCCCUGGUCAAAAGAAGUCCACUAUAAGGGAGAGUGGGGUAAGCUGAGAAAUGUUUUUUUCUGUCAAGGGAAAUAUAUUAUUCUUUCUAACAAACAUUACAGUUUUGAAAACAUAGCUUGUCCAAAAAAGUGGUCUCUUGGCACAACUUUCCCUGGUACAGGGUCAGAGUUAAGCCGCCUAAAAAUGUCUGUACUGAAUAUAAUAUUACCACUACCUUGUUAAAACCAUGUCAAUCUUU
This 1284-nucleotide long non-coding RNA is filed under the name Salmo salar (Atlantic salmon). Its description in RNAcentral is "lncRNA (ENSSSAG00000108758.1)". The stretch from base 271 to 345 matches the Rfam family "mir-205 microRNA precursor family". The record is from RNAcentral. Lineage: Eukaryota; Metazoa; Chordata; Actinopteri; Salmoniformes; Salmonidae.